GGGAGGGAGGGGAGGGGAGGGGAAGGGGGCGGCGGCAUGAGUACACACCUGGUCGGUGGUUGCUCGUCUUCACCUCGGGGGCCCUCGCGAGCACUCACACCCUGCCCUCACCGACUCACCUAUGCACUUUUGUUCAUUCAAGCUGUGAGGUACAAUUUUUUUGGGGGGGGACGGGAGCACAAUUACAGCAGGAGGAUCGCCAACGACUUUGAUUAAAGUCGCUGAAAAAAAGAUAUAUUCCCCCAAAAAACUGAAAACAAAAGAGAGAGAGAGAGAGACUUCGAGAAGCGCGCGCCUUCUUCCACCUCCUGUACAUAAACCAUAUUUUUGUAUUACCUUUCAGAGUAGAAAGAAAGAAAGAAAAUUUGCAAAUGGAUGAAGGAAAAAUUCAUGAGACGUUGAUUAUAUGGAUGGAGUGAAUGUUCUUCAAGAAAACCAAUCUUUUUUUGUUUUGUUUUUUAUAUAUAUAUAUAAACAUAUAUAUAUAUAAAAAUAUAGUUUGAGAUAUUGACUCGCUGUGAGUUUCCCUUAGUUUGCCAGUAACUCCUGGAAAGGAAAAAAAAAAAAAAAGCAUCGGGGGACGGAACGGAAAACCCACAAAAAGGACUGAGGUGCUGGACGUGCUACAGUGAACUCCAAGACUGACUUGAUAAUGUUAAUUAUCAACAACAACAACAACAACAACAAAAAAAUGAAAAAAAAAAACGGAGGUUGCCGUGGCGACAAAGAGUGUUUGAUCAACAGUGGACGAGGCAGAGGAUGCUCGGCGGCUGCCUCCGGAGCUGUGGAGAGACGACGGGAUGAAGAGUAUUUGACAUUGGACUCUGGCCGUUCUUUAUUUGCUGCCCUCUGCGAGGAGGAUCUAACCGACGGCCCGACCAAUGAACCAGUUAACCCUAAACGAGUCGAACUGAACCACGAGAAACUCUUUCUUGACCUCGGGGACCGGGCGGGGCCCAUCGGCAUUAUCGGAGGGGACGGGACGGAGGAGGAGGAGGAGGAGGAGGAGGAGGAGGAAGUUCCAGGCUGAUCAAUCAAUCAAUACGUGGAUCCCAUCUGUGUUAAGUCGGGGGUGGAGUGGGGGGGGUUUGAUCGGAAAGCGUCACCCAGAUGUCAUCAUCCGCCUCGGCCUGAAACUUCUUUUUUUUUAUUAUUUUAUUUGUUUUUUUUGUUUGUUUGUUUUUAUUGGGGAGGUCCUCUAAACCAGCAGGACAGGACAGAAGACCUCCUGCCCCCGGACGUCAAAAAAGACAAAGCGCGGUGGGGGACGUGGCUGGAUUUACAUCUCAGCCGCCUGAACCCAUCCCCCCCCCGACCCCCCCCCACCCCCACCCACACACAUUUUUUUUUUUUAAUUUUAUUUUUUUUUGCAGCUUUGGAACUGGAUGAACUGAAUGAAUUGUACAAAAAACAACAACAACAACAACAACAAAAAAAACUUUAAAGCAAAACUACAUGUCACACGUAGAGUCCAAAGGAGCGGCAGACACACUACAUGCACACUUACACACCAAACGUUACAAUGGCUCCUCCUCUGGAACCAUGUCUGCACACACACACACACACAAACACACACCAGGGAUACACGAAUAUCAACACACAAGCAUCAACGCUCACCACUAUAAACGCUGAGCUUUGUAAAUAAUGUAAAAGUUUUUGAUUUUUUUUUUUUUUUUUCUCUCACAGUGUUUUUUUUUUUGUUUUGUUUCAUUUUGUUUUAUUUCUCUGUUCAACAUGCCUUAAAAUUGUAUAGUUGAGUCUGGAAUGGCUAAAUGAAAAAGAAGAAAAUGUUCUCAGCAUUUGAAGUUGGAAACCACCGGGUUUAACUGGGGGGGGGGGUAAGGGGGGGUCACAGUGAGACCGUCGUCCUGUAUAAACCUGCUUAUAUGUACAUCUGAUCUCCUUUUGAAGUUACUAGUUAACGACAGAAUAGAGCAGUUUUUUUGUUUGUUUGUUUGUUUUUGGUUUUUUUUUUGGAGGGGAGGAGGGAGGGGGGUUGAUCCAACUUUGCCGGUGGCUUUCGUCGCCCCUUUCGUUACCCUUCAAAAAUGAUUUGUCCCCGAUUUGUUCCCACUUUAGAUUAUUAUACUCGAGGUACAGGCUUCAUAAAGGGCUAAAGUCUGUGCUGUGUGGAGCUGAGCCGACUGGUGCAGAACCAGACUGACAUCCUCAAACAGAUUCAUUUUUUUAUUAUUAUUAUUAUUAUUAGUAACACUCCAGUGGACUCAAACGUUUUGGACGAUAAGAUACAAGGUACUUUUUUUACAGUUGUGAGAGGACUUUGCGAGGCUCGUGUCUAAGAGCGAACCUGCAUUAUUUUUUCUGGUUGGUUGUGACACUAAACUUUAAGUAGGGGGGGGUUCUUCACCUGUUGCGUGCUGCUCACCAUCCCUGAUAGUGCUCAAGUAGAUAGUCGUGUGUCUGAAUCUGGAGGGAAAGUCUCGUUCUGUGUGUUCAUGUCUAAUUGGAUCCGAGUGAUUAGUGUUUUAAGCCGAACCGAGAGUUCGUCGCGGCUGAUUCGCGUGCAGUUUUUAAACCCUGAUGUUGGUCGAAGUGAUCGGCGUUUUUUUUUUUUUGGUUGCAUCUGCUGUAGCGGAGCAAACUGAAGUAGCUCCCUUGAUGCCGAAUGGUUUUCCUGAAUUUCAAAUUGUUGUGGUCGGUUGCCAGAACCGGAGGCGAUGACUUAAACACGUGCCUGUUGUUUUGACAAUUUUUUUAAGAAGCUGAUGCUGUAUGGGUUUGUCCUCUUUGGUAAGUCUCUCUGUUUUACUGCACUGGAAAGGCUUUUAUAAUUAGACAAGCUGCAGUGGUGUGUUGGUGGUAAAAUAAUGAUAAUAAUAGUGAUACAGAAGCAGCCCUGGAUGUUUUGAAUGGAUCCUGUCACAGCCCGACCCCCCCCUCCGCCCCGGCCCCCCGGUCUGCUUGAGGAUAUUAAGUUGGUCAUCUGGUUAUCGUCAUUAUAGUUCCAACCUUAUUGAUAAACAAUAAUAAUAAUAAUAAUAAAAUUAUACUCCAGUCAGCUCAGCUCCUUCUGCUUAAUAAGUCUUUGAAUGUUGUUAAAAUAACAGCAUACAUGUUAUGAAACUGCUUUUUCGAAAAGAACAACUGAAAGAAGUGUAAAUAGUUUGGCUUUUGUUUGUUUGAAGAACAAAAUAAAUACUAAAUAAAUAGCAUUUAGCUGUGACCGA
Long non-coding RNA from Mugil cephalus (flathead mullet), 3188 nucleotides. RefSeq lists it as uncharacterized. The record is from RefSeq and is a predicted model, not a curated record. The transcript has 2 exons. NCBI's taxonomy places the organism in Eukaryota, Metazoa, Chordata, Actinopteri, Mugiliformes, Mugilidae.